UACGUAGGGGGCUAGCGUUGUCCGGAAUCAUUGGGCGUAAAGCGCGUGUAGGCGGUCCGGUAAGUCCGCUGUGAAAGUCGGGGGCUCAACCCUCGAAUGCCGGUGGAUACUGUCGGGCUAGAGUGCGGAAGAGGCGAGUGGAAUUCCUGGUGUAGCGGUGAAAUGCGCAGAUAUCAGGAGGAACACCAAUGGCGAAGGCAGCUCGCUGGGACGUGACUGACGCUGAGACGCGAAAGCGUGGGGAGCAAACAGG
Molecule: ribosomal RNA, 253 nt
Filed under: uncultured bacterium
Lineage: Bacteria
Description: partial 16S ribosomal RNA
Rfam family: Bacterial small subunit ribosomal RNA
Source: RNAcentral